This is a long non-coding RNA of Alosa sapidissima (American shad), 1281 nucleotides long. RefSeq lists it as uncharacterized. NCBI's taxonomy places the organism in Eukaryota, Metazoa, Chordata, Actinopteri, Clupeiformes, Clupeidae. The transcript has 2 exons. The record is from RefSeq and is a predicted model, not a curated record.
GGACAGUGCCUGAAAAAAGACAGACAGAGAGGACGAGGCUGCAGCUCGGCUCGGCUCUGUCCGUGGUGUCAUCCGCUGACCACGCUGACCGAGCCACUCCAGCAUUUUUCUUUGGUAUUUUUUUUCUUGGGGCGACACCGGAUUACUCCUCCCGUUCGCGCCCUCUCUCUUGGAGGGAAGCCUGGUUGGGAGCGCGCACGCCUCGCGCAUGCCUCUCUCCUCUCCGACUGGAUUUAUCAGAGCUAUCUCUCAUCAGCGGGAUCCACAAGUUGAACUUUCCCCCCCCCCCCCUCCUCCCUCCUCCCUCCUCCCUCCUCUCCAGACUCAACUUUUCUCUGGCUUCUUUUGUUUUCUUUCUCUCCUUUUUUUUUGAGAACAAACUGAAAUGACUAAAAGCUCAAACUGGAUUCCCUUUGCAAGCAGAGCCCUUGUGGCGACACUCUCGUUUUCACCUGCCUCUGUGGGCAGAGAAAAGGUGAUGUGUCCAGACAGUGCCUGCAUGUUCAGAAGGUGUCAAGAGUUUAUGAUGAUUUUUUAUUUUUUUUAUUUUUGUUAUUUUCUGGCACAAAUCCAACUGACUUGCCAGCUGUGACGAGAUGGCCUAAAGUGUUUGCUGUCAUCAGCUGAGGGGAGAGAACGAGAGCCAAAGAGCGAAACUAACCCAACCCAACGCAGGCAGGCAGGCAGGCAGGCAGGCAGCUCGCGAACAGCUAAAGGCUGUGAGGGAGUGAGCGAGCGAGCCAGUGAGUGAGUGAGGAGUCCAGGGGUAGAGCUGCGUCAGGCAUGAAGCACCUGGGACGCUUGCCAGCUCCUGACAAAAGCCUCCACCACACGCUCCACUCGCAGAGACGCCGUCAAGCCCUCACUCCUGGACACCUCGCAAAUCCCGGACAUUGUCGUGGAGAUCGCUGGCAUGGUCGGCUGACAAGAGAUGUCGGACAUUUUUAUUCAUUGUUCUGCAGAGUAGCUGCCAGGCCAUUGACCAUUGAGAGACGGCUUGAUUGCUGGCUUAGUCCUGGCUGGAUGAUGACUGGAUGAUGGCUCACUCUUGCCUAAUUGACAGCUGUUCUUGAGGCUGAGGUAGUAGAUUGAAUAGUUGUGGGGUGCGAUCCUCCCUCUGAGAUAACUAUACAAUCUACUGUCUUUCCUAAAGAGACAGACUGACCUCCAGGCUUACCACUCACCACAUCUGUUGGAACGUCCAGGACACAGGCAGAAAUUCAUAUCCAAAUAUGUAACAUCAAUGAUGCUGCCCAUAUUAAACAUUAUCUAGUAACUUUA